This is a long non-coding RNA of Aquila chrysaetos chrysaetos, 324 nucleotides long. RefSeq lists it as uncharacterized. Lineage: Eukaryota; Metazoa; Chordata; Aves; Accipitriformes; Accipitridae. The record is from RefSeq and is a predicted model, not a curated record. The transcript has 3 exons.
CCGCGCGCCACCUGAGGAGGGCGGCCGCGGCGGGCGGGAGUUGCGGCGGGGGCGGGCUCUGGCGAGGGGAAGCGUCCGUGAAAGGUUCUGCUGCUCCUCAGGGUAGAGUAAAGAAGAACUGGCCACAGGCCGUCUUGGACAUGUUGUGGAGAAUGAAAGAACAUCAGUGUGACCCUUUUCCUUCUCUCCUGUUGUGAACCUCUUCACAUAUGAGAUAACCUAGUAUAAAUCCUGUAUAGCAGUCUUUAAGCCAAUGGAAUAGGUGCAGAGCUGCAAACUAUCCUCCUUCAAAGCCCUUCUAAAAAGUUUAUUUGUGGUGCCUAC